Molecule: small RNA, 265 nt
Organism: Ruegeria pomeroyi DSS-3
Lineage: Bacteria; Pseudomonadati; Pseudomonadota; Alphaproteobacteria; Rhodobacterales; Roseobacteraceae
Rfam family: Ruegeria trans44 sRNA
About the family: Trans-encoded. Higher sRNA expression during C-limited growth.
Source: Rfam
CAUCGCGAUGCUCUUCAAUCAUGGAGACAUCGUGAUGAGGAUACUUUCAAAGCGCCAGCUCAAGGAGCUGGUCCUCUACUCGCCGCAACACGUCGCGCGGCUGGAAAAGGCAGGCCAAUUCCCCAAGCGGGUACAGCUGGGCCCGAACAGAGUGGGAUGGGUUGAGGACGAAGUGCUGGACUGGCUUCAGCAACGGCUGGAUGGCCGCGAAGAGUCCAACCGACACUCCUGAUACAGGAGCCGGGUGGCCAGGCGUGCACAGCUU